Long non-coding RNA from Puntigrus tetrazona (Sumatra barb), 342 nucleotides. RefSeq lists it as uncharacterized. The transcript is spliced from 3 exons. The record is from RefSeq and is a predicted model, not a curated record. Lineage: Eukaryota; Metazoa; Chordata; Actinopteri; Cypriniformes; Cyprinidae.
GGAAAUGCAAGAAUUGCCGUUUCCAAAAGACGUCUCAGAUUAAUUCGGUCACAUUAACGAAAGUUCUUCAACAGCGAUGUAUGACUGCAAAGUCUCUCCAAGCAUGGCAGAAAGCAGCGAGGAUUUCCCACUGCCAACAUGGCCGACAACAGCAACCAAUGAACCGCAGGGAACUUUUACGCUGAUCCUGCUCCAACACACAGAAACCUGUGGAACUGAAAACAUGAAGGCGUCGUGGACCAUGAGGCACAACGUUCCUGUUAGGAAGUAGGGUCCGAAGCUACGAGCGAGUGUCCGUAAGAGACAGAAUCCCGAACUCUGCUCCUUCUGAAUCUUCCUGAG